UACGUGGGGGGCAAGCGUUGUUCGGAAUUACUGGGCGUAAAGGGCUCGUAGGCGGCCAACUAAGUCGGACGUGAAAUCCCUCGGCUCAACCGGGGAACUGCGUCCGAUACUGGAUGGCUUGAAUCCGGGAGAGGGAUGCGGAAUUCCAGGUGUAGCGGUGAAAUGCGUAGAUAUCUGGAGGAACACCGGUGGCGAAGGCGGCAUCCUGGACCGGCAUUGACGCUGAGGAGCGAAAGCCAGGGGAGCAAACGGG
Molecule: ribosomal RNA, 253 nt
Filed under: uncultured bacterium
Lineage: Bacteria
Description: partial 16S ribosomal RNA
Rfam family: Bacterial small subunit ribosomal RNA
Source: RNAcentral